GAAUAUAACAGUAAGCAUUCAGGGUGGUAGGCUUAUUCUAGCACAGUUGAAGUACUUACCUUCAUAAGAAACAAGUUGUUUUUUACACCCAUGAUGCUGAGGUUAUAUUUCUAAUGAUUUACCUUUUUCUCUUAGAUCAAGCUUUGUGAUUCAUCAGCCAAGGGAUGAAAAAAGAAAGAGUUAAUCUAUGGGCUGGAGCAGCUGUCUCUGAGAGGAAAAGAAAAAAACCUCAGUCACCUCCCUUUUACCUGUAUUGUGACUUGUGCCACUACGCAACGGUUGCUCUACCGGAUGGCGUCGUAACUAAUCCCUGGCACUCAGCUGACAGAGUAGUGUUCUUGUCCGGGCCGUAUCUUUGGGAGGCGCGGUUUGGUGGUUUGCCGUGUACUUGCAUGUAGAUAAGUAGGGUGUUACCUGCUCAAUUCAUACAUUUUUACAAUUGUUUAUUAAUAGUAUUUUGUUCUAGGACCAGCAUUGGUGGAGUUGGAGACGGUCACAUUCUGGCGCUGGCGCUUCAGUGCUCCUAUUUUCAUCUCAUAGAAUAAUAUCAUGACUUUUUUCAACCAUUUAAAAAUAAACUUUUGUAGACUUGAACUGGAAACACGUCUCUGUAAGUCUUUACACAAAUCUGUAUUAUAAAUGUUGUUUGUUUUUGUACUAUU
Molecule: long non-coding RNA, 662 nt
Organism: Gadus chalcogrammus (walleye pollock)
Lineage: Eukaryota; Metazoa; Chordata; Actinopteri; Gadiformes; Gadidae
Exons: 3
Source: RefSeq, a predicted model, not a curated record